This 433-nucleotide ribosomal RNA is filed under the name uncultured bacterium. Its description in RNAcentral is "partial 16S ribosomal RNA". It matches the Rfam family "Bacterial small subunit ribosomal RNA", at positions 29 to 507 of the family's 1533-position model. The record is from RNAcentral.
AGCGAACGCUGGCGGCAGGCCUAACACAUGCAAGUCGAACGGAUCCUUCGGGAUUAGUGGCGGACGGGUGAGUAACACGUGGGAACGUGCCCUUUGGUUCGGAACAACUCAGGGAAACUUGAGCUAAUACCGGAUGUGCCCUUCGGGGGAAAGAUUUAUCGCCAUUGGAGCGGCCCGCGUCUGAUUAGCUAGUUGGUGAGGUAACGGCCCACCAAGGGCACGAUCAGUAGCUGGUCUGAGAGGAUGAUCAGCCACACUGGGACUGAGACACGGCCCAGACUCCUACGGGAGGCAGCAGUGGGGAAUCUUGCGCAAUGGGCGAAAGCCUGACGCAGCCAUGCCGCGUGAAUGAUGAAGGUCUUAGGAUUGUAAAAUUCUUUCAGCGGGGACGAUAAUGACGGUACCCGCAGAAGAAGCUCCGGCUAACUUCGUG